Molecule: ribosomal RNA, 1947 nt
Filed under: human metagenome
Description: bacterial LSU rRNA
Rfam family: Bacterial large subunit ribosomal RNA
Source: RNAcentral
GGUAGUAAGAGCCGAUGAAGGACGUGGUAAGCUGCGAUAAGCCUAGAUAAGUUGCAAUCGAACGUAAGAGUCUAGGAUUUCCGAAUGGAGCAAUCUAUUAAGAUGGAGUCUUAAUACGAAAGAGGGAACCGCGUGAACUGAAACAUCUAAGUAACGCGAGGAAAAGAAAGUAAAAACGAUACCCAAAGUAGCGGCGAGCGAAAUGGGUCAAGCCUAAACCUUAAAUAUGUCAAGGAUACAGCCGUUGUAUUUAAGGGGUUGAGGGACAGAGUGAUGAAGAACUGUAAGAUAUUCAAUAUAGUGUAUUGAUGAAUUAGAAUUGUCUGGAAAGGUGAACCGCAGAAGGUGAAAGUCCUGUAUAAGUAAAUCCUUACACAUAUAACUUUGCUCCCAAGUAACAUGGAACACGAGGAAUUCUGUGUGAAUCAGUGAGGACCAUAUCUCAUAAGGCUAAAUACUCUUACUAACCGAUAGCGCAUAGUACCGUGAGGGAAAGGUGAAAAGAACCCCUGGAGGGGAGUGAAAUAGAACCUGAAAUUGUGUGCUUACAAGCGGUCAGAGCCCAUUUGGGUGAUGGCGUGCCUUUUGGAGAAUGAUCCUGCGAGUUACGUUAAACGGCGAGGUUAAGUAUAACGGAGCCGAAGGGAAACCAAGUCUUAAUAGGGCGAUUUAGUCGUUUGGCGUAGACGCGAAACCUGGUGAUCUAAACCUGUCCAGGAUGAAGCUGUGGUAAGACACAGUGGAGGUCCUAACCCACCGCCGUUGAAAAGUUGGGGGAUGAGGUAGGUUUAGGGGUGAAAAGCCAAUCGAACCAGGAGAUAGCUCGUUCUCUCCGAAAUGCAUCUAGGUGCAGCCUUGAGUGUUCAAUUAUGGGGGUAGAGCACUGAAUGAUCUAGGGGGCAUAUUGCUUACUGAAAUCAAUCAAACUCCGAAUACCAUAAUUUAUAGCUCAGGAGUGAGACUAUGGGAGUUAACUUCCAUUGUCAAAAGGGAAACAACCCAGACCACCAGCUAAGGUCCCUAAUUAUAACUAAGUGGGAAAGGAGGUGGAGAUUCACAAACAACUAGGAGGUUGGCUUAGAAGCAGCCAUACCUUUAAAGAGUGCGUAAUAGCUCACUAGUCGAGAGUCUCUGCGCCGACAAUGUAACGGGGCUAAGUUAUAAACCGAAGCUGUGGAAUCCUUUUGGAUUGGUAGGAGAGCGUUCUGUAGGCCGUUGAAGAAGAAGGGUAACCAACUUUGGAGGUAUCAGAAGUGAGAAUGCAGGAAUAAGUAGCGAGAAAGGGGGCGAGAAUCCCCCUCGCCGGAAGACCAAGGUUUUCAGGGUAAAGCUUGUCUUCCCUGAGUAAGCCGGGACCUAAGCCCAGGCUAUAAUGCGUAGGCGAAUGGAAAACAGAUUAAUAUUUCUGUGCCAGUCAUUUAUUGUGAUGGAGGGACGCAGAAGGGUAUGCGCGCGGACGAACGGAAGUGUCCGUAGAAGUAUGUAGGGUGACUUAGUAGGUAAAUCCAUUAAGUUAUAUCUGAGGUAUGAUAUACAGUCGUAAGAUGAAUGCGCAAAUCCCACGCUGCCAAGAAAAGCUUCUAACGUUAAUAUAUGACUGCCCGUACUGUAAACCGACACAGGUGGUCAGGAUGAGAAAUCUAAGGCGGACAGGCUAACUCUCGUUAAGGAACUCUGCAAAAUAACCUCGUAACUUCGGGAGAAGAGGAGCCCUUGGGUGUUAGUAUCCAUGCGAUACAAAGCGCUCGAGGGUCGCAGUGAAGAGGCUCAAGCAACUGUUUAACAAAAACACAGGUCUAUGCUAAGCUGGAAGGCGAUGUAUAUGGGCUGACACCUGCCCAGUGCUGGAAGGUUAAGAGGAGGAGUGAGAGCUCCGAAUUGAAGCCCCAGUGAACGGCGGCCGUAACUAUAACGGUCCUAAGGUAGCGAAAUUCCUUGUCGGGUAAG